Molecule: ribosomal RNA, 274 nt
Filed under: uncultured bacterium
Lineage: Bacteria
Description: partial 16S ribosomal RNA
Rfam family: Archaeal small subunit ribosomal RNA
Source: RNAcentral
AAACCAGCACCUCAAGUGGUCAGGAGGAUUAUUGGGCCUAAAGCAUCCGUAGCCUGUUCUAUAAGUUUCCGGUUAAAUCCACUAGCUCAACUAGUGGGCUGCCGAAAAUACUGUAGAACUAGGGAGUGGGAGAGGUAGACGGUACUCGGUAGGAAGGGGUAAAAUCCUUUGAUCUAUUGAUGACCACCUGUGGCGAAGGCGGUCUACCAGAACACGUUCGACGGUGAGGGAUGAAAGCUGGGGGAGCAAACCGGAUUAGAAACCCGAGUAGUCC